UGGGCAAGUCUUACACAACCAGCUCCUGAUGAAUCCCCCAGGGUGGGAACGCAGCAAGGGUAAUUAGUCGUAGCGGUGUGAUGUGAGUAGCUUGCCCACU
This 100-nucleotide signal recognition particle RNA is filed under the name marine eukaryotic metagenome. Its description in RNAcentral is "Bacteroidales small SRP". It matches the Rfam family "Bacteroidales small SRP". From Rfam's summary of the family: The non-coding component of the signal recognition particle in Bacteroides The record is from RNAcentral.